Molecule: ribosomal RNA, 374 nt
Filed under: Blastocystis sp. subtype 1
Lineage: Eukaryota; Bigyra; Opalinata; Blastocystidae
Description: SSU rRNA
Rfam family: Eukaryotic small subunit ribosomal RNA
Source: RNAcentral
AAGCUCGUAGUUGAAGUGUGGGUGAUCGCUAUUGUGAGACUUCGGUCUCUCGAUAGUAAGUCACCCCCUUCCAGUAUCCAGUAGUGGGUAUUCACUUACUUACUAUUGUGUGUUGGUCCUUUACUGUGAGAAAAUUAGAGUGUUCAAAGCAGGCGUUUGCUUGAAUAGAUUAGCAUGGAAUAAUAAUUGAAGGCUUUCGUGUUCGAUUUGAUUGGUUUGUUCAUGGAAGCAAGGUUAAAAGGAACAGUUGGGGGUAUUCAUAUUCACUAGUUAGAGGUGAAAUUCUCGGAUUUAUGGAAGAUGAACAAGUGCGAAAGCAUUUACCAAGGAUGUUUUCAUUAAUCAAGAACGAAAGCUAGGGGAUCGAAGAGGAU